GAAAUGCGAUAAGUAAUGUGAAUUGCAGAAUUCAGUGAAUCAUCGAAUCUUUGAACGCAUCUUGCGCUCCUUGGUAUUCCUUGGAGCAUGCCUGUUUGAGUAUCAUGAAAUCUUCACAGUAAAUCUUUUGUUAACUCAAUUGGUUUCUACUUUGGUAUUGGAGGUCUUUGCAGCUUCACACCUGCUCCUCUUUGUUCAUUAGCUGGAUCUCAGUGUUAUGCUUGGUUCCACUCGGCGUGAUAAGUUAUCUAUCGCUGAGGACACUGUAAAAGGUGGCCAAGGUAAAUGCAGAUGAACCGCUUCUAAUAGUCCAUUGACUUGGACAAUACUUUUAUGAUCUGAUCUCAAAUCAGGUAGGACUACCCGCUGAACUUAAGC
RNAcentral lists this unclassified non-coding RNA (378 nucleotides) under plant metagenome. RNAcentral's name for it is "partial contains 5.8S ribosomal RNA, internal transcribed spacer 2, and large subunit ribosomal RNA". The stretch from base 1 to 105 matches the Rfam family "5.8S ribosomal RNA", at positions 50 to 154 of the family's 154-position model. The record is from RNAcentral.